This 262-nucleotide ribosomal RNA is filed under the name uncultured bacterium. Its description in RNAcentral is "partial 16S ribosomal RNA". It matches the Rfam family "Bacterial small subunit ribosomal RNA", at positions 524 to 783 of the family's 1533-position model. The record is from RNAcentral.
UACGAAGGGGGGCUAGCGUUGUUCGGAAUUACUGGGCGUAAAGGGCGCGUAGGCGGUGUGUCAAGUCAGGCGUGAAAGCCCCCGGGCUCAACCUGGGAACCGCGCUUGAGACUGGCACGCUAGAGUUCGGGAGAGGAUGGUGGAAUUCCCAGUGUAGAGGUGAAAUUCGUAGAUAUUGGGAAGAACACCGAUGGCGAAGGCAGCCAUCUGGACCGACACUGACGCUGAGGCGCGAAAGCGUGGGGAGCAAACAGGAUUAGAA